Molecule: ribosomal RNA, 495 nt
Filed under: uncultured bacterium
Lineage: Bacteria
Description: partial 16S ribosomal RNA
Rfam family: Bacterial small subunit ribosomal RNA
Source: RNAcentral
GACGAACGCUGGCGGCGUGCCUAAUACAUGCAAGUAGAACGCUGAAGGAGGAGCUUGCUUCUCCGGAUGAGUUGCGAACGGGUGAGUAACGCGUAGGUAACCUGCCUGGUAGCGGGGGAUAACUAUUGGAAACGAUAGCUAAUACCGCAUAACAGUAGAUAUCGCAUGAUAUCUGCUUGAAAGGUGCAAUUGCAUCACUACCAGAUGGACCUGCGUUGUAUUAGGUAGUUGGUGAGGUAACGGCUCACCAAGGCGACGAUACAUAGCCGACCUGAGAGGGGGGUCGGCCAACCUGGGACUGGGACACGGCCCCGACUCCUACGGGAGGCAGCAGUAGGGAAUCUUCGGCAAUGGGCGGAAGUCUGACCGAGCAACGCCGCGUGAGUGAAGAAGGUUUUCGGAUCGGAAAGCUCUGUUGUAAGAGAAGAACGAGUGUGAGAGUGGAAAGUUCACACUGUGACGGUAUCUUAACAGAAAGGGACGGCUAACUACGUG